RNAcentral lists this ribosomal RNA (490 nucleotides) under uncultured bacterium. Its description in RNAcentral is "partial 16S ribosomal RNA". It matches the Rfam family "Bacterial small subunit ribosomal RNA", at positions 28 to 507 of the family's 1533-position model. The record is from RNAcentral.
GAUGAACGCUCGCUACAGGCUUAACACAUGCAAGUCGAGGGGCAGCAUGGUCUUAGCUUGCUAAGGCCGAUGGCGACCGGCGCACGGGUGAGUAACACGUAUCCAACCUGCCGUCUACUCUUGGACAGCCUUCUGAAAGGAAGAUUAAUACAAGAUGGCAUCAUGAGUCCGCAUGUUCACAUGAUUAAAGGUAUUCCGGUAGACGAUGGGGAUGCGUUCCAUUAGAUAGUAGGCGGGGUAACGGCCCACCUAGUCUUCGAUGGAUAGGGGUUCUGAGAGGAAGGUCCCCCACAUUGGAACUGAGACACGGUCCAAACUCCUACGGGAGGCAGCAGUGAGGAAUAUUGGUCAAUGGGCGAGAGCCUGAACCAGCCAAGUAGCGUGAAGGAUGACUGCCCUAUGGGUUGUAAACUUCUUUUAUAAAGGAAUAAAGUCGGGUAUGGAUACCCGUUUGCAUGUACUUUAUGAAUAAGGAUCGGCUAACACCGUG